GAUGAACGCUGGCGGCAUGCCUAAGACAUGCAAGUCGAACGAAGAUACUGAUGAUUAGAUUUCGGUUUAAGAAAUAGUAUACUGAGUGGCGAACGGGUGAGUAACAGGUAGGAAACCUACCCUAAAGACGGGGAUAACAUUUGGAAACGGAUGCUAAUACCGGAUAGGAUACAAUACCGCAUGGUAAUGUAUUUAAAGAUGCGUCUGCAUCGCUAUAGGAGGGUCCUGCUUCGUAUUAGUUAGUUGGUGAGGUAGUGGCUCACCAAGGCAACGAUGCGUAGCCGAGCUGAGAGGCUGAACGGCCACACUGGGACUGAGACACGGCCCAG
Molecule: ribosomal RNA, 329 nt
Filed under: uncultured bacterium
Lineage: Bacteria
Description: bacterial SSU rRNA
Rfam family: Bacterial small subunit ribosomal RNA
Source: RNAcentral